CAUGUCAAUAACCCGUAAUAAAGGACUGAACUAAAUGGAAACCACCUUGAUGUCUUUGGUUGGGGCAACCGCGGGGAACUAAAUAACCCCCAUGUGGAAUGAGAGAACUUCUCUUACAGCUCAGAGUUACAACUCUAAUAAACAGAAUUUCUGACCAAAAAGAUCCGGCAACGCCGAUCAACGGACCUAGUUACCCUAGGGAUAACAGCGCAAUCCUCUUUUAGAGUCCCUAUCGACAAGGGGGUUUACGACCUCGAUGUUGGAUCAGGACAUCCUAAUGGUGCAGCCGCUAUUA
Molecule: ribosomal RNA, 295 nt
Filed under: Spinachia spinachia (sea stickleback)
Lineage: Eukaryota; Metazoa; Chordata; Actinopteri; Perciformes; Gasterosteidae
Description: partial 16S ribosomal RNA
Rfam family: Bacterial large subunit ribosomal RNA
Source: RNAcentral